AUUUCUAUAUUUAUUUAUUUAGACACUGUAUUCUCAAGAGCCUGUGAACAACAGGGUAUUUGUUACGUGACAUUCUGGGAUUCAGUCUGUGAACCAGAUAAUUUUGUGGUUCAGGGCCGUUGUAAUCCCUCAUAAUGAUUCAAAGUGUCUUCAGAAA
Long non-coding RNA from Thalassophryne amazonica, 157 nucleotides. RefSeq lists it as uncharacterized. The record is from RefSeq and is a predicted model, not a curated record. The transcript has 4 exons. Lineage: Eukaryota; Metazoa; Chordata; Actinopteri; Batrachoidiformes; Batrachoididae.